CGGAACAAAUGUUUUAUUACUGAAGCCACUAUCAAGAUAUUUUGUGUGUUUGGGAAUUUUUCCACCAUACGAUUUUAGAAGAAAUAGACUAAAAUGUGGUUCAACGUUAGUAAUAUUGGUAAUGUGUGACAAAAUAAGAACCGAAGCAAAAAAACUAAUGACAACCGCUUACUAUAUUGAAGACUGUUUAUCCAUUUAUUCAAAACCAUAUACAGAACUUCAAGCUUUUAUGAAGAAAGUAUCGUCGACUAAAUUUGAGUUUACUGCAGCUGGAUUUUUCACGAUACACCGACAUGUAAUGUUUUCUAUUUUAGGAAAUGUUGCCACAUAUUUUAUUUUAUUAGAACAAUUCUGGACAACCAAAUAAUUUUUUGACUUUGAAAUGCCUCUAAUU
This 394-nucleotide unclassified non-coding RNA is filed under the name Sitophilus oryzae (rice weevil). RNAcentral describes it as "uncharacterized LOC115877631, transcript variant X1". The record is from RNAcentral. Lineage: Eukaryota; Metazoa; Arthropoda; Insecta; Coleoptera; Curculionidae.